RNAcentral lists this ribosomal RNA (1452 nucleotides) under Enterococcus hirae. RNAcentral's name for it is "partial 16S ribosomal RNA". It matches the Rfam family "Bacterial small subunit ribosomal RNA". Lineage: Bacteria; Bacillati; Bacillota; Bacilli; Lactobacillales; Enterococcaceae. The record is from RNAcentral.
GAGAGUUUGAUCCUGGCUCAGGACGAACGCUGGCGGCGUGCCUAAUACAUGCAAGUCGAACGCUUCUUUUUCCACCGGAGCUUGCUCCACCGGAAAAAGAGGAGUGGCGAACGGGUGAGUAACACGUGGGUAACCUGCCCAUCAGAAGGGGAUAACACUUGGAAACAGGUGCUAAUACCGUAUAACAAUCGAAACCGCAUGGUUUUGAUUUGAAAGGCGCUUUCGGGUGUCGCUGAUGGAUGGACCCGCGGUGCAUUAGCUAGUUGGUGAGGUAACGGCUCACCAAGGCGACGAUGCAUAGCCGACCUGAGAGGGUGAUCGGCCACAUUGGGACUGAGACACGGCCCAAACUCCUACGGGAGGCAGCAGUAGGGAAUCUUCGGCAAUGGACGAAAGUCUGACCGAGCAACGCCGCGUGAGUGAAGAAGGUUUUCGGAUCGUAAAACUCUGUUGUUAGAGAAGAACAAGGAUGAGAGUAACUGUUCAUCCCUUGACGGUAUCUAACCAGAAAGCCACGGCUAACUACGUGCCAGCAGCCGCGGUAAUACGUAGGUGGCAAGCGUUGUCCGGAUUUAUUGGGCGUAAAGCGAGCGCAGGCGGUUUCUUAAGUCUGAUGUGAAAGCCCCCGGCUCAACCGGGGAGGGUCAUUGGAAACUGGGAGACUUGAGUGCAGAAGAGGAGAGUGGAAUUCCAUGUGUAGCGGUGAAAUGCGUAGAUAUAUGGAGGAACACCAGUGGCGAAGGCGGCUCUCUGGUCUGUAACUGACGCUGAGGCUCGAAAGCGUGGGGAGCAAACAGGAUUAGAUACCCUGGUAGUCCACGCCGUAAACGAUGAGUGCUAAGUGUUGGAGGGUUUCCGCCCUUCAGUGCUGCAGCUAACGCAUUAAGCACUCCGCCUGGGGAGUACGACCGCAAGGUUGAAACUCAAAGGAAUUGACGGGGGCCCGCACAAGCGGUGGAGCAUGUGGUUUAAUUCGAAGCAACGCGAAGAACCUUACCAGGUCUUGACAUCCUUUGACCACUCUAGAGAUAGAGCUUCCCCUUCGGGGGCAAAGUGACAGGUGGUGCAUGGUUGUCGUCAGCUCGUGUCGUGAGAUGUUGGGUUAAGUCCCGCAACGAGCGCAACCCUUAUUGUUAGUUGCCAUCAUUUAGUUGGGCACUCUAGCAAGACUGCCGGUGACAAACCGGAGGAAGGUGGGGAUGACGUCAAAUCAUCAUGCCCCUUAUGACCUGGGCUACACACGUGCUACAAUGGGAAGUACAACGAGUCGCAAAGUCGCGAGGCUAAGCUAAUCUCUUAAAGCUUCUCUCAGUUCGGAUUGUAGGCUGCAACUCGCCUACAUGAAGCCGGAAUCGCUAGUAAUCGCGGAUCAGCACGCCGCGGUGAAUACGUUCCCGGGCCUUGUACACACCGCCCGUCACACCACGAGAGUUUGUAACACCCGAAGUCGGU